This 253-nucleotide ribosomal RNA is filed under the name uncultured bacterium. RNAcentral describes it as "partial 16S ribosomal RNA". It matches the Rfam family "Bacterial small subunit ribosomal RNA", at positions 524 to 776 of the family's 1533-position model. The record is from RNAcentral.
UACGUAGGGGGCAAGCGUUGUCCGGAUUCAUUGGGCGUAAAGGGUGCGUAGGCGGCGGGGAAAGUCUGAUGUGAAAUCCUGGGGCUCAACCCUGGAACUGCAUUGGAUACUUCCUUGCUAGAGUACUGGAGAGGAAACUGGAAUUUACGGUGUAGCAGUGAAAUGCGUAGAGAUCGUAAGGAAGACCAGUGGCGAAGGCGAGUUUCUGGACAGUUACUGACGCUGAGGCACGAAGGCCAGGGGAGCAAACGGG